AUCACCGCGCCGCCGUUUUGUCCGUCGUCAUCGUCGGCGACCGUUUCUACGUCGUUUAUUUCUCAUUAUUUCGUUAUUAUUAUUAUCAUUAGUAGUACUGACUACUAAUUAUAUGUAUUCUUUAAUUAAUGUGAUUUCGUAAAUUUUCUACUACUACGGCGAUUAUAUUAUUAAUUGUCGAUAUUGUGACGGUCUUAUUUGAUUUGAUUUUGUAAUUUUUAGAUGGCGUUUGUCGUGUGCCCGGAAGACUGCUUCGAUAAUGGUUCGACCCGUUGGCCGAGAGUGCUGGCUUAAUCAAUAGUGCUGUUAACAAUCUACAACGGAUUUAUUAAACGGACGGCGUUUGUUGCGUCCUGACGUGGUAUGCUUCGAUAACGGCUCGGCCUGUUGGACCUGAAGUGCCGGGGCUCUGAUCGACAACGGAUUUAUUACACGGACUGCUACACUGCUGUGCCAGGAUAACUGAGCUGUAGAUUGUUGGCUGUCAUCACUAUUGGAUUUAUUGCACGGGUAAUUUAUUUUCAUUUGUUAAAAGAAAUACUGUGUCUGGAUGAAUGCUUUUGAAUAAUGGUCAAGAGUACAUGUUUAUUUACAUUCUUGAACAUGAUGGACAAUUGAUUUAUAGCAAAUAGCCUGGAAGACUGCGUUUGAAUAACAGUUCAGACCAUUGGCCAAGUGUGCCAGUUCUAAUGAAUUUAUAACGCAAACUGUGCUCGACUUGGAACGCAAAACAUUUUUGCUACUGUUGUACCUUUGGCGUGUUGAACGGCCAUGCUGUGCUUAAUUUUUGUUUAAGCGGUGUCUUCUCUUCACCAAAAAAGAUUGCAUUUUAUAUUGACGGCCAUUGUCUUUGUUCUAUUCUUGGUGACGUUUUGCUGCCGGACACAAAGUGAAGAACAGUGUUGUUUGCUCUCCGGGUUCAUUCAAAACGACUGCAGAAUUUUCCAUAAAUCGUACUUUAACAUUAGUUUCGAAUAAUAUUUUGUUUUUUGUUAUUCCCCACGUGGAAAGUUAUAUAGAAUUUUUGUAAUAUACUCAUUGUUCUUAUGUGGAAACCUUCAAGUUUAUAAUUUAAAAUACUAUUCAGUUUACACAAUAAACUGAACAACACAUAAUAAA
Molecule: long non-coding RNA, 1119 nt
Organism: Daktulosphaira vitifoliae (grape phylloxera)
Lineage: Eukaryota; Metazoa; Arthropoda; Insecta; Hemiptera; Phylloxeridae
Exons: 7
Source: RefSeq, a predicted model, not a curated record